Long non-coding RNA from Alligator mississippiensis (American alligator), 5421 nucleotides. RefSeq lists it as uncharacterized. The record is from RefSeq and is a predicted model, not a curated record. The transcript is spliced from 4 exons. Lineage: Eukaryota; Metazoa; Chordata; Crocodylia; Alligatoridae.
CUGGCCACACAGCAGUGGCAGCUCUGGCUCAGGGAUGCUGGUGCAUGGCUGGGCAGGCAUCAGAGCUCGACAACUGACCAAGAAAAAAGAAGUAAUCUUUCACUGACUUGUAUCCAAUCUCAUCUCCUGGUUUGUAGAACCAAUGUGGCUGCUCCCAUCCUGCAUGGAAACCCAUUGAACAUUUGGAUUUAAGCACUUCAUAAAGCCCACUGGCUCGCUCUGUAGGCCUCCCAGCAAACCUUUCUUCUUUAGGAUAACCAACUGGAAAAAUGCACAGAAGACAGGCUGCCUGAGGGGAUGAACUGGGGAUGUAUAACGAAGGAAACUUGUCUAUGGGAUUCCUGCUUCAUUUGUUCCAGAAGCUGAAAGUUGUCAUUUGAAACAGAACUGCCCCUCCAAUGUAAAGAAAAGCAACAUAUAGUUAUAGCCAACUUAAGAAAACAAAACCCUUUCCUGGAUUACAUACAUUCCCUUUCCAUGGACAGAUGUUUUUCCACCUGUCUGUUCUCAUCAUUAUUGUCAAAUCACAGUAUCCUCAUUACAGCUGUUCUCUCCUACAGUUUCAUUUUUUUAGAUCAUUUUUCUAGCUAAAUAUUUUGGAAGACAAAAUACUAAGGACACAACCAUCUGAUGUCUCAAGAUCUCAGGUAUUCUUUACAAGAAUGGAGAUAUUCACCAAUGUAUCCUGGCCAAAUGUUAAUAAGUAAUACAUCUUGACAGUGUACAUGGGAAAGUAUUCUUUGCUUUCUUUCUUAAAUGCUGCUGUUAAACAAUUUGGCAUUUCAGAGGUGAUUCAGAGCAAUACAUCAGGGGAAAGCUUGCUGUUCUUAAGUGCAUGUCAAUUGAUUUGUUUUAACUUUUUUGUCUGUCUACUACUAUCCCAAAGUAAGUGAAGCCAAACCAUAGUAAUUAACUAUCUUUCAUUAAGGGGAGGUUCCAUUAAACUUCCCCUAACUUCAGUAAAGGACACAGUCAAAACAGUUAUAGCAGAUCUGCUGUACUCUACAGUAGACCUCCCUUCCUCACUGUUUAAAAUGGUAUAAUUAUUCAUCUAAGUCCUCUGGAAAGAAUUUGGUCUCCUUUUGAGUACAUGCAAAUGUAAAAUCAAUAACAUAAGUUACUUGAGUCACUUCUGUAUCUAAGGCCCCUAGCAGACUUUACACUUAGGACAUGAUUAACCAGUUACUUAAUCAAGUCUUAAGGAGUAACCCAGCCACAUGUUCAUGCAAUUAACAGUAAUAAAACAGGGAAUAUAUGGAAUAAUUUGUAGCUGAUUCUUAUUGUGCCGUAAAUUGAACAUGUGGCUGCUGCGCUCCUGCAGCUGGGAGUGCUGAUCAGAAAACUGGUGUCCCAGCUGUAGGCAUGCCAGGCACCUGCUUACUAACUUGCUGGUGCCAGGGAGAGCCUGGGAUCAUGAAAUUAGGCAUGCCACACCUACUGUGUGACAUGUCAGGAUGCGCAAUUGAUGGGAGGAUUCAGUGACUUCAAAGGUGUUUUCCCAACUUUCACCUGCAAGGAUUCUAUUUUUUCUGUAUUUAAAGCUUAUACAACAGCACAGUCUCUUUGAGAUACCUCUGAAAAGACUUGUUGGAAACAUCUAUGCUAUUAGAAUCAUCCACAUGAAUUAUAUAAUGCAGCUGUGGUUGCUGUAAGCUAUUUUAUUACUAAGAGUCAUGAAGUCAUAGAGAAGUAGGACUGGAAGGGACCUCCAGAGGUCAUCUAGUCCAACCCCCUGCCUCAGGCAGGAUCAUCCCUAUCCAAAUCCCAUCCAAGACUUGGAUUCCUAAACAUGGCUGUACUGCAGACGAUGCUAAUAGAAUACACAGGGCAUGAGAGGUGCAAUCAUGCCAGCAACCAUGCUAGCUCCUGAAUGGGAAGCAGUGUAACCAUGUUUUUACAGUGCUGCACACAGGCCAGUUUUCUGUCUCUUAGCAGAGCUAAUCGCUGUACUCAGUAUUGGUGAGACUAUAGCUAGAGUACUGCAUCCAGUACUGGGUGCCACACUUCAACAAGAACACACUAAAACUCAAGAGAGUCCACGGAAGGGCCACCCAUAUGAUCAGAGACUUGCAUGGCAAGCCAUAAGGGGAAAGGCUGAGGGACCUGGGACUCUUCAGCCUGAAAUGAGAAGGCUGAUAAGGGACUUGAUAGUAGCUUACCACUACAUCAAGGGCUCAGUGAAAAACUGUUCACCAGGGCACCCUUGGGGAAAAUCAGGAGUAAUGGCCACAAACUCCUGGAAGACCAUUUCAGGCUCUACAUUAGGAAACACUUCUUCACAACUAGGGUGUCCAGACUGUGGAAUAAACUCCCUCCAGAUGUGGUGCAAUCGCCUACCCUGGAAAUCUUCAAGAGGAGACUGAACAGUCACCUUGCUGGGGUCACCUGACUCCCAGUUGUCUUUCCUGCCUGGUGCAGUGGUGCUAGACCUGAUGAUCCCCCAAGGUCCCUUCCAGCCUUGCAAUCUAUGAAUAAGCCUGCUGGCAGUGCCAUGACUACUGUAUAUUUCUUCCAGUCCAGGAGCUAACAAAUAUAGUGCUUCUAAAGCCACGGACAGAUGUUAAUAGAUUUAUAGACAUUAGGGCUAGAAGGGACCUCACGAGAUCAUUGGGUCCAGCCCCCUGCCCAAGGGGCAGGGAGUCAGCUGGGGUCAGAUCACUCCAGCAGGAUAAGCAUCCAAGCAUCCAAGCAUUUCUUAAAGGUAUCCAGAGUCAAGAACAAGGCAAGAUGGGAUCUAAUGCACAAUCCCAACAAUUGCCACACCUGCAGGUCAGGAGACAACUGUGGGAUCAAGCAUCAGAUCCCAUCACGCCAUAUUGCUGGCAGUCCCCCUGCACAGGCAAUUUUCACCCCUGUGGCUGGAAGACCCCAUCAGUUGAUCACAGCUUCCAACCCCCAAAGCUCACCAUGCACUCCUGCAGCUGAAAGCUCCAAUUGCUGAUGGGGCUCCCAGCCAUGGGAGCACAUGGUAUGUCUUCACGGGUGAGAACUCCAAUCAGGUAACAGUACUCCCAGCCUGGGCAGCACAUAGCACGCCUCUGCAGCUGAGAGCUCUGAUGGCUAGGAACCUCAUCAGUGAUUGGAGCUUUCAGUCACCAGGCAGGGGUACACAGCUGGGAGCCCCAAACGGCUGACCAAUGCUCCCAGCCUCUGGAGCACAGGGGAGGCUGGGAGCACCAGUCACACAGUCAAUUAAAGGCAUGAUAGGAACCAGCAACAAAGUUAUUACAUGUGUUUACAUUGUGUAGUAACUUUUUUGCUUAUUCCUGGUUUUAUCUCACCGUUAAUUGCAUGAAAAUGUAGCCAGGUCUCUACUUAAGAUGUGAAUAGCCAGGUAAUCACAUGCUAAGUAUAACACGCAUCAGAGACCUAAAUAUGGCAGUUCCUUGUGCCCUGUGAAUUAUUCCUACUGGGGUGAAUAAAAGAAUGGAGGGUGUAUGUGCUCUUCUGGGAGGAGGAGCAUGCAUCCUAUGGGAUGAGGCACCCAGAGGAAGCACGCUCUACAAAGCGUGGCUAUACUGGGUGCAAAUUUUUCACAGUCCAGCUCUGUCCAUAAGUAUCUAAAAGCUGUCAUGAAUCAUAUCAUGAUUUUUUUACUGUCUUCUUUAAUUUCUGCAAACAUUUCCUGAUCAUGGUUUUACUUUCUAAAACCAGUUGCUAGUGGCUCUUGUGUGUGCCACACAAUAAUACAGGCUAAUGGGCAUUUAGUUGAAAAGAUUAUAUUGAAAGAAUAGCUAUGACAUUUUUAAACACAAAAAAUAAUUUAAUACAUGUCUGAGUAUCAUUUGGCUGCAGAUAAAAUGUUACUGAUUUCAAGAAUGCUAUUUAUGGCAGCAAGAACCUGAUGACCUGCUUUAGGAUUAAAUCACUUUCAGAAGAGGUUGCUUUAUCUUUGCAAUACUGAUAUAUUGCUGGGUCCGAUUUGGGAGUAUAAGUAUUUUAGGAUUCUAGAUGUGGUGAUUAUUUCCAUAAAAUAAAAACUGAGGUUGUCCAAAUCCAUCUCUAUAGGAUUCUUCAGUAAUUUUUAAAAGCCUUUUUAUAUGUUGAAUUUCUUAGUUCACUUCCGAUUGUACUGUACCUAUCAAUGCAUCAACAUUUCUAUGAAUACAGGCAUUUCUUUCAGCAUAUACAGAUCUUGCAGAUAUGACUACAUUUUUACAACAAUUCUGUAAUAAUUGAACAGCAUAGUAAACUGAAUUUUACAGAAAAAAGCAUCAUGUAAAGGGAUAAAACAUGACACCUGCUUCUUUAGAAAAAACCUGUUCAAUUAAUGAGUAAAGGCGAUAUACUAUAAUGACAGAUUUGCACCCUAUGCAGCCCUGAAGCUUUUACUGCUGUUGCAUGGAGUGUCAUUCAGGAUUUCAGAUGCCUAGAAACUGCUGGUACAUGAUCUAGAAUCUAGAGUUACUACAUAAGGCUAAAAACAGACUGCCAGUGGGCAUGUCUACAUAUGCUAAUAAUUCAAAGUAGGAUUACUGUACAGUAAAAAUACUAUGCAGUAAGCCUACCUGGGAACAUGUCUACACAUGCUCCCUCUUGGGAGCAGAUUUGCUCCAUUGGGAGCAGCCUGGUAUAGGGCUUUUCCUGCCCUGCUCUGCCGCCUGCAGCAGGCAGAGAGAGCUCCAGGCUCCCCCUGGGUGCCAGCCUGGGGGCUGGCAGGGAGCACAGGGCCAGUCCUCAUGCACACAGGGCCAGGAGAGCUCUGCCGGCUGCAGCAGCACCUGUCUCCUGACCCCAUACACAUUGGGAGGGGUCCUGAUGUGCACAGGGCUGGGAGACAGCUGCUGCUGCAGAGCUCUCCUGCCCCGUGUACAUGGGGACAAGCCCUGUGCCCAGUGAGGCUUCCCCGUGCAGCCUGGGGCUGGCCACAAACUGUCCCAUUCUGGGGCAGGUCCCAAUCAGUUCCAGGCUGCAAGGAGAGUGUGCCUAGAAUGGGACAGUUCCCAGCCAGCCCUGGCUGGGAACUGUCACUGCUCAACUCAGCUCCCAGCUUCUGUGUGGAGCUGGGAGCUGAGCAGUACCAAGAUGGGGGGAAGACCAGGGCGGAGAGCUACCCCAUCCUAGUGUUGCUCAGCUCCCAGCUUCCAGCCAGGACUAGGGGAGUUCCCUGUCCCCUGUGGUCCCCUAGUGUAGGGGCUGACAGGGAGAAAAGUUGCUCUCAGCCAGAGUCUACACAGGCAGUACUGCACAACAUCUACUGCAUAGUUAGUUUACUACCUGUAUUUAUGGGUAGUAACUAACUGCCAAGUAGACUAAUUUACUGUGUAAUAAAUGUGUGGACAUGUAGACAGUGCCACCUUACUGCACAGUAGAUUAGUCUACUGUGCAAUAAAGAGUCUCAAGUAGACACACCGAGUUUAUUCCAGGACAAAGACUUUAUCCUGAGAUCCUACAGACACAAACUCUCUUCCACAUGAAUGC